This 440-nucleotide ribosomal RNA is filed under the name uncultured bacterium. RNAcentral's name for it is "partial 16S ribosomal RNA". It matches the Rfam family "Bacterial small subunit ribosomal RNA", at positions 338 to 795 of the family's 1533-position model. The record is from RNAcentral.
CCUACGGGUGGCAGCAGUGGGGGAUAUUGCACAAUGGGCGGAACCCUGAUGCAGCGACGCCGCGUGGGUGAAGAAGCGCCUCGGCGCGUAAAGCCCUGUCAGCAGGGAAGAAAAUGACGGUACCUGAAGAUGAAGCCCCGGCUAACUACGUGCCAGCCGCCGCUGUAAUACGUAGGGGGCAAGCGUGAUCCGGAUUUACUGGGUGUAAUGGGGGCGCAGGCGGGGAUGCAAGCCAGGAGUGAAAGCCCGGGGCCCAACCCCGGGAGUGCUCUUGGAACUGCGUGGCUGGAGUGCAGGAGGGGCAGGCGGAAUUCCUGGUGUAGCGGUGAAAUGCGUAGAUAUCAGGAAGAACACCGGUGGCGAAGGCGGCCUGCUGGACUGCAACUGACGUUGAGGCCCGAAAGCGUGGGGAGCAAACAGGAUUAGAUACCCUGGUAGUC